UAAACAAAAGUAAGAGAAACAAUGAUGUAUAAUUCAAGCAUGUUUGGUGAUCUCAAACCAAUCACAAGGAGUCCCACCCAAAGGCAAAGGGAACCAAGAUGCUCAUGAUCCUUGAGGCUAUGCAAAUGCAAUGUUAUGAUGCCAUGAGGGAUCUUAGGGUCAAAAUUGGGGUCUUACAGAUGCCCCUAUUUAAGGUCAUUCUAGCCGGAGAAGUGAAGGUUAAAAUCU
RNAcentral lists this long non-coding RNA (228 nucleotides) under Lathyrus oleraceus (garden pea). RNAcentral's name for it is "Pisum sativum (pea) long non-coding RNA (PSAT_LNC020479)". The record is from RNAcentral. Lineage: Eukaryota; Viridiplantae; Streptophyta; Magnoliopsida; Fabales; Fabaceae.